Non-coding RNA from Sphingomonas mucosissima, 73 nucleotides. The record is from Rfam. NCBI's taxonomy places the organism in Bacteria, Pseudomonadati, Pseudomonadota, Alphaproteobacteria, Sphingomonadales, Sphingomonadaceae.
GCCGGUUUAGCUCAGCUGGUAGAGCAGCGGUUUUGUAAACCGAAGGUCGCGGGUUCGAUUCCUGCAACCGGCA